Molecule: ribosomal RNA, 468 nt
Filed under: uncultured bacterium
Lineage: Bacteria
Description: partial 16S ribosomal RNA
Rfam family: Bacterial small subunit ribosomal RNA
Source: RNAcentral
GACGAACGCUGGCGGCGUGCUUAACACAUGCAAGUCGAACGGAAAGGCCCUGCUUUUGUGGGUUGCUCGAGUGGCGAACGGGUGAGUAACACGUGAGUAACCUGCCCUUGACUUUGGGAUAACUUCAGGAAACUGGGGCUAAUACCGGAUAGGAUCUCCUGCUGCAUGGUGGGUGUUGGAAAGUUUCGGCUGUUGGGGAUGGACUCGCGGCUUAUCAGCUUGUUGGUGGGGUAGUGGCUUACCAAGGCUUUGACGGGUAGCCGGCCUGAGAGGGUGACCGGCCACAUUGGGACUGAGAUACGGCCCAGACGCCUACGGGAGGCAGCAGUGGGGAAUAUUGCACAAUGGGCGGAAGCCUGAUGCAGCAACGCCGCGUGCGGGAUGACGGCCUUCGGGUUGUAAACCGCUUUCGCCUGUGACGAAGCGUGAGUGACGGUAAUGGGUAAAGAAGCACCGGCUAACUACGUG